CACGUAGGCACCAAGCGUUGUCCGGAUUUAUUGGGCGUAAAGGGCUCGUAGGCGGUGUGUCGCGUCGGCCGUGAAAACCUGCAGCUUAACUGUGGGCUUGCGGUCGAUACGGGCAUCACUGGAGUUCGGCAGGGGAGACUGGAAUUCCUGGUGUAGCGGUGAAAUGCGCAGAUAUCAGGAGGAACACCGGUGGCGAAGGCGGGUCUCUGGGCCGAUACUGACGCUGAGGAGCGAAAGCGUGGGGAGCGAACAGG
RNAcentral lists this ribosomal RNA (254 nucleotides) under uncultured bacterium. RNAcentral describes it as "partial 16S ribosomal RNA". It matches the Rfam family "Bacterial small subunit ribosomal RNA", at positions 524 to 776 of the family's 1533-position model. The record is from RNAcentral.